GACAACGCUGGCGGCGUGCCUAACACAUGCAAGUCGAGCGAGUGGAGUCUUCGGAACAAAGCUAGCGGCGGACGGGUGAGUAACACGUGGGCAACCUGCCUCAUAGAGGGGAAUAGCCUUCCGAAAGGGAGAUUAAUACCGCAUAAGAUUGUAGCUUCGCAUGAAGUAGCAAUUAAAGGAGCAAUCCGCUAUGAGAUGGGCCCGCGGCGCAUUAGCUAGUUGGUGAGGUAACGGCUCACCAAGGCGACGAUGCGUAGCCGACCUGAGAGGGUGAUCGGCCACAUUGGGACUGAGACACGGCCCAGACUCCUACGGGAGGCAGCAGUGGGGACUAUUGCACAAUGGGGGAAACCCUGAUGCAGCAACGCCGCGUGAGUGAUGACGGCCUUCGGGUUGUAAAGCUCUGUCUUCAGGGACGAUAAUGACGGUACCUGAGGAGGAAGCCACGGCUAACUACGUG
This 460-nucleotide ribosomal RNA is filed under the name uncultured Clostridium sp. Its description in RNAcentral is "bacterial SSU rRNA". It matches the Rfam family "Bacterial small subunit ribosomal RNA", at positions 32 to 507 of the family's 1533-position model. Lineage: Bacteria; Bacillati; Bacillota; Clostridia; Eubacteriales; Clostridiaceae. The record is from RNAcentral.